UACGGGGGGGGCAAGCGUUGUUCGGAAUUACUGGGCGUAAAGGGCGCGUAGGCGGCCUGCUAAGUCGGAUGUGAAAUCCCUCGGCUCAACCGAAGAACUGCAUCCGAUACUGGCGGGCUUGAAUCCGGGAGAGGGAUGUGGAAUUCCAGGUGUAGCGGUGAAAUGCGUAGAUAUCUGGAGGAACACCGGUGGCGAAGGCGGCAUCCUGGACCGGUAUUGACGCUGAGGCGCGAAAGCUAGGGGAGCAAACGGG
Molecule: ribosomal RNA, 253 nt
Filed under: uncultured bacterium
Lineage: Bacteria
Description: partial 16S ribosomal RNA
Rfam family: Bacterial small subunit ribosomal RNA
Source: RNAcentral